Molecule: ribosomal RNA, 497 nt
Filed under: uncultured bacterium
Lineage: Bacteria
Description: partial 16S ribosomal RNA
Rfam family: Bacterial small subunit ribosomal RNA
Source: RNAcentral
GAUGAACGCUGGCGGCGUGCCUAAUACAUGCAAGUCGAGCGAACAGACGAGGAGCUUGCUCCUCUGACGUUAGCGGCGGACGGGUGAGUAACACGUGGAUAACCUACCUAUAAGACUGGGAUAACUUCGGGAAACCGGAGCUAAUACCGGAUAAUAUAUUGAACCGCAUGGUUCAAUAGUGAAAGACGGUUUUGCUGUCACUUAUAGAUGGAUCCGCGCCGCAUUAGCUAGUUGGUAAGGUAACGGCUUACCAAGGCAACGAUGCGUAGCCGACCUGAGAGGGUGAUCGGCCACACUGGAACUGAGACACGGUCCAGACUCCUACGGGAGGCAGCAGUAGGGAAUCUUCCGCAAUGGGCGAAAGCCUGACGGAGCAACGCCGCGGGAGUGAUGAAGGUCUUCGGAUCGUAAAACUCUGUUAUUAGGGAAGAACAAAUGUGUAAGUAACUAUGCACGUCUUGACGGUACCUAAUCAGAAAGCCACGGCUAACUACGUG